CUCACCAAGGCGACGACGGGUAGCCGGCCUGAGAGGGCGACCGGCCACACUGGGACUGAGACACGGCCCAGACUCCUACGGGAGGCAGCAGUGGGGAAUAUUGCACAAUGGGCGAAAGCCUGAUGCAGCGACGCCGCGUGAGGGAUGACGGCCUUCGGGUUGUAAACCUCUUUCAGCAGGGAAGAAGCGAAAGUGACGGUACCUGCAGAAGAAGCGCCGGCUAACUACGUGCCAGCAGCCGCGGUAAUACGUAGGGCGCGAGCGUUGUCCGGAAUUAUUGGGCGUAAAGAGCUCGUAGGCGGCUUGUCGCGUCGGUUGUGAAAGCCCGGGGCUUAACCCCGGGUCUGCAGUCGAUACGGGCAGGCUAGAGUUCGGUAGGGGAGAUCGGAAUUCCUGGUGUAGCGGUGAAAUGCGCAGAUAUCAGGAGGAACACCGGUGGCGAAGGCGGAUCUCUGGGCCGAUACUGACGCUGAGGAGCGAAAGCGUGGGGAGCGAACAGGAUUAGAUACCCUGGUAGUCCACGCCGUAAACGGUGGGCACUAGGUGUGGGCGACAUUCCACGUCGUCCGUGCCGCAGCUAACGCAUUAAGUGCCCCGCCUGGGGAGUACGGCCGCAAGGCUAA
Molecule: ribosomal RNA, 623 nt
Filed under: Streptomyces sp.
Lineage: Bacteria; Bacillati; Actinomycetota; Actinomycetes; Kitasatosporales; Streptomycetaceae
Description: bacterial SSU rRNA
Rfam family: Bacterial small subunit ribosomal RNA
Source: RNAcentral